CCUGUCGAGAAAAGCUCCUUUUCGUUUCCCUAGGUGCCCGUACCGUAAACCGACACAGGUGGGUGGGUCGAGUAGACCAAGGCGCGCGAGAGAAACCUCUCUAAGGAACUCGGCAAAAUAGCCCCGUAACUUCGGGAGAAGGGGUACCCACUUCGGUGGGUCACAGUAAAUUGGGUUUAGCGACUGUUUAACAAAAACACAGCACUCUGCCAAGUUGUGAAAACAACGUAUAGGGUGUGACACGUGACCAAUGCGGAAAGAUCAAGGUGACUUGUUAGCCGCAAGGCGAAGCUCGGAGCCAAAGUCCCCGUGAAUGUCGGCCGUAACUAUAACGGUCCUAAGGUAGCGAAAUUCCUUGUCGGGUAAGUUCCGACCUGCACGAAUCGUGUAACGACUGAACCGCUGUCUCGGAGAGGAUCUCGGCGAAAUUGUAACGGCGGUGAAGAUGCCGCCUGCCCGCAGUAGGACGGAAAGACCCUAUGCACCUUUACUGUAAGCUGGUAUUGUGUUCUGAUUAAUGAUGCGUAGCGUAGGUGGGAGACUUUGAAGCCAUGGUUUCGGUUGUGGCUGAGUCGCAAUGUGAAACACCACUCUUUGUUAAUUAGGAUUCUAACCCUAUGCUGUUAGCCAGCUAGGGGACAGUGCCUGCGGGUCAGUUUGACUGGGGCGGUUUCCUCCCAAAGGGUAACGGAGGAGCGCUAAGGUACUCUCAGCAUGGUUUGCAACCAUGCGUCGAGCGUAUGGGUAGAAGAGUGCUUAACUGCGAGACCAACAAGUCGAGCAGAUACGAAAGUAGGCCCAAAUGAUCCGAUGGUUGAAUAUGGAAUUGCCAUCGCUCAACGGACAAAAGGUACGCUAGGGAUAACAGGCUGAUCGGAUCCAAGAGUUCAUAUCGACGAUCCGGUUUGGCACCUCGAUGUCGGCUCAUCGCAUCCUGGGGCUGGAGAAGGUCCCAAGGGUCCGGCUGUUCGCCGGUUAAAGCGGUACGCGAGCUGGGUUCAGAACGUCGUGAGACAGUUCGGUCCUUAUCCACUGUGGGCGCAGGAAACUUGAGGGGUUCAUUCUCUAGUACGAGAGGACCGAGAAUGACGCACUUCUGGUGUGGCAGUUGUUCCGUCAGGGGCAGCGCUGCGUAGCCAUGUGCGGAAGAGAUAAGCGCUGAAAGCAUCUAAGUGCCAAGCUCAUCCCAAGAUAUUGUUUCCCGGACGCAAGUCCCUAAAGACUCCAUGUAGACCACGUGGUUGAUAGGUCAGGCGUGUAAGUGCCGCAAGGUACUCAGCGGACUGAUACUAAUUAGUCGUGCGGCUUGAUCGC
RNAcentral lists this ribosomal RNA (1314 nucleotides) under metagenome. RNAcentral describes it as "bacterial LSU rRNA". It matches the Rfam family "Bacterial large subunit ribosomal RNA", at positions 1604 to 2925 of the family's 2925-position model. The record is from RNAcentral.